Molecule: small nuclear RNA, 312 nt
Filed under: Saimiri boliviensis boliviensis (Bolivian squirrel monkey)
Lineage: Eukaryota; Metazoa; Chordata; Mammalia; Primates; Cebidae
Description: 7SK RNA (ENSSBOG00000001294.1)
Rfam family: 7SK RNA
About the family: 7SK was discovered as an abundant small nuclear RNA in the mid-70s but a possible function has only recently been suggested. Two independent studies have found that 7SK RNA binds the CDK9/cyclin T complex (known as elongation factor P-TEFb).
Source: Rfam by way of RNAcentral
GAAUGUAAGGGCUACCUGGCUGCAACAUCUUUCAUCCCAUUGAUCACCAGGGUUGAUCUGGCUGAUGGCUGGCUGGGGGUGGGUGUCUUCUUCCUCCCUCACUGCUCCAUGUGCGUUGCUCUGGAAGCUGUGUCCUGGGUCUAGGAGGACAACCAUCUCCAGUAGAGGAGAAUGGGUCUUCUUUCAAGAGGAUACGAGUAGCUGUGCUUCCCUGAUAGAACCUCCGAACAAGCUCUCAAGGACAAACUAUCAAACGGUCCCAUGAGGUAAAAACAAUAAAUAAUGGCUUUCCUGGAACAUUUUCCUGCAAAA